Molecule: long non-coding RNA, 930 nt
Filed under: Rattus norvegicus (Norway rat)
Lineage: Eukaryota; Metazoa; Chordata; Mammalia; Rodentia; Muridae
Description: long non-coding RNA NONRATT018549
Source: RNAcentral
UGCCUAUGAUUAUACAAUUCCAUCCAUGGAGAAAGCCCUUGUGAAGACAGACAUUCAGAUAGCUGUUCCUUCUGGGUGCUAUGGAAGAGUGGCUCCACGUUCUGGCUUGGCUGUAAAGCACUUCAUAGAUGUAGGAGAUUCACUUGCAAUAGGCCUAUUAGGCUGUACCUCAAAGGUCUUCCACGGUGGAAAAUUUCCAGCCUUCUGUGAUCAUUCAUUCCAACAUGGAACAACUUGCUCUGUACUAAGGACUUGCCUUGUUAAGUGCAAGCGACAUCAUCUGCAGUCAACCUCUCUCCAAAGAGUAUGAAAACAGCCGGCCCAAUCUUCAUGUCAGAUCUUUUCCUAAGUACUAAGGACUAAACUAAUAAACCGGUAAAAAGGAAACCUUAUAUAAUAAUUUGAAUUGGUGAAAGGUUUGUUACUGUUCUGCUAAAAAAAAAAAAAUAGAUCGUCUAGACAGAAUGAACUGCCUUUGACAUGUGAAUUAGAUCUCCAUGUUAGAAACGGAGGGCUGUUAGCCACAUUAUCUGUGCUUCUGUAAACACAUCAAGUUCCUGGCUCCGGGACAGCUGAGGGCAAGUCUGGGGCAUGUAUCUUCUGGGCCGCAGCAAGGUCUCCUUUAAAGAUCUAUUUUACUUUAUAAUAUCAAACAGGUACUAAUUAGACAUUUAAAACUAAUCUUGGCCCAGCAAGAUGGCUCGCUGGGUCCUCGCCUGCUCCGAGCCUAAGGACUUGAGUUCAGACCCACGUGGUGGCAGGGGACCCUUGGCUGAGCGGUUGUCUUCUGACCUCCACACAUGUGCUGUUGCAACAACAGAAGUUUCAGCCGGUGUCAUAGAUGAAGAUUAUAGAGGAAAUGUCGGCGUCGUGCUGUUCAAUUUUGGAAAAGAGAAGUUCGAGGUGAAAAAAGGUGACCGGAUCGCGCAG